RNAcentral lists this ribosomal RNA (169 nucleotides) under Trimma randalli (Randall's pygmy goby). RNAcentral describes it as "partial 12S rRNA". The record is from RNAcentral. Lineage: Eukaryota; Metazoa; Chordata; Actinopteri; Gobiiformes; Gobiidae.
CACCGCGGAUAGACGGCCUAGGCUCAAAUUGACAGCUUUCGGCAUAAAGCGUGGUUAAUAAAACUAAAACUAAAGUAGAACCUCUUCCACACUGUUAUACGUUUAUGAAUGAGAGAAACCCAACAACGAAAGUGACUUUAAGACUUAUGAACCCACGAAAGCUAUGAAA